Molecule: unclassified non-coding RNA, 336 nt
Filed under: soil metagenome
Description: partial contains 5.8S ribosomal RNA, internal transcribed spacer 2, and large subunit ribosomal RNA
Rfam family: 5.8S ribosomal RNA (bases 1-120)
Source: RNAcentral
GAUGAAGAACGUAGCGGAAUGCGAUAAGUAAUGUGAAUUGCAGAAUUCAGUGAAUCAUCGAAUCUUUGAACGCACAUUGCGCCCGCCAGUAUUCUGGCGGGCAUGCCUGUUCGAGCGUCAUUUCAACCAUCAAGCCCCAGGCUUGUGUUGGGGACCUGCGGCUGCCGCAGGCCCUGAAAACCAGUGGCGGGCUCGCUGUCACACCGGGCGUAGUAGAUUUUAUCUCGCUCAGGGCGUGCUGCGGGUUCCGGCCGUUAAAAAGCCUUUUUUACCCAAGGUUGACCUCGGAUCAGGUAGGAAGACCCGCUGAACUUAAGCAUAUCAAUAAGCGGAGGA